Molecule: long non-coding RNA, 471 nt
Organism: Saccoglossus kowalevskii
Lineage: Eukaryota; Metazoa; Hemichordata; Enteropneusta; Harrimaniidae
Source: RefSeq, a predicted model, not a curated record
UCAGACCGUUCUUGGAGAUUUCCUUGGUGAUUCUGACAAAUUCAACAAGGAAGUCAUGUAUGCGUACGUAGAUCAGAUGAAUUUCUCCUGGCCGAACUAUUGUUCCAGCUCUCAGGAUGUUCCUAGAUGAUUUCCGGUUGCCUGGAGAAGCUCAAAAAAUUGAUAGACUGAUGGAAAAGUUUGCUCAGAGAUAUUUUGAGACGACUGCCUACCAGGGUCUCUUUGCCAGUGCUGACACUGCCUAUGUCUUGGCUUAUUCUAUUAUUAUGUUAACAACGGAUUUACAUAGUUCACAGGUGAAACACAAAAUGACCAAAGAGCAAUAUAUUAAAAUGAAUAGGGGUAUCAAUGAUAGCAAAGAUUUGCCUGAAGAUUUCCUCUCUGCAAUUUACGAUGAGAUUGCAGACAAUGAAAUUAGGAUGAAACAAACUGCAAACAAACCAACGGCCAAGACAACAGGUAUGUUAUGUG